AAGACUGUGCUUCACAGGAUCAUUUCUGUAGGCAAGUUUUCUCCACAAGUUUUUUCCGAAAGGAAAAGAUUUCCCACCCACGAUGAUGAGACAUCGUGACUAGUCCGGAGCGUGAAACUUGGUUCGGUUGCACUCUAUCGUUUACGGUAGGGUCACGAACUGCUGAUGAUCGGGCUCUUUUGCAAGGAUUGGUCGCUGUCUGAGUGGU
Molecule: small nucleolar RNA, 208 nt
Organism: Toxorhynchites rutilus septentrionalis
Lineage: Eukaryota; Metazoa; Arthropoda; Insecta; Diptera; Culicidae
Product: small nucleolar RNA U3
Exons: 1
Source: RefSeq, a predicted model, not a curated record